CCUAUCAGCUUGUAGGCGGGGUAAUGGCCCACCUUAGGCUUCGACGGGUAGCCGGCCUGAGAGGGCGGACGGCCACAUUGGGACUGAGAUACGGCCCAGACUCCUACGGGAGGCAGCAGUGGGGAAUAUUGCGCAAUGGGGGAAACCCUGACGCAGCGACGCCGCGUGCGGGAUGAAGGCCUUCGGGUUGUAAACCGCUUCUGAUUGGGAGCAAGCCUUUUGGGUGAGUGUACCUUUCGAAUAAGCGCCGGCUAACUACGUGCCAGCAGCCGCGGUAAAU
This 280-nucleotide ribosomal RNA is filed under the name uncultured Gardnerella sp. RNAcentral describes it as "partial 16S ribosomal RNA". It matches the Rfam family "Bacterial small subunit ribosomal RNA", at positions 237 to 525 of the family's 1533-position model. The record is from RNAcentral. Lineage: Bacteria; Bacillati; Actinomycetota; Actinomycetes; Bifidobacteriales; Bifidobacteriaceae.